UGGGGAAUAUUGGACAAUGGGGGCAACCCUGAUCCAGCCAUGCCGCGUGAAUGAUGAAGGCCUUCGGGUUGUAAAGUUCUUUUGGCGGGGACGAUGAUGACCGUACCCGCAGAAUAAGCUCCGGCUAACUUCGUGCCAGCAGCCGCGGUAAUACGAAGGGAGCAAGCGUUGUUCGGAAUUACUGGGCGUAAAGGGCGCGUAGGCGGUUUAACAAGUCAGGCGUGAAAGCCCCGGGCUCAACCCGGGAAUAGCGUUUGAGACUGUUUUUCUAAGAGUUCGGAAGAGGUAAGUGGAAUUCCCAAUGUAGCAGUGAAAUGCGUAGAUAUUGGGAAGAACACCAGUGGCGAAGGCGGCUUACUGGUCCGACACUGACGCUGAGGCGCGAAAGCGUGGGGAGCAAACAGGAUUAGAUACCCUUGUAGUCCCUGAGCGGGCUGGCAAGGCGCAU
This 448-nucleotide ribosomal RNA is filed under the name uncultured bacterium. RNAcentral's name for it is "bacterial SSU rRNA". It matches the Rfam family "Bacterial small subunit ribosomal RNA", at positions 355 to 825 of the family's 1533-position model. The record is from RNAcentral.